UUUUCCCCCGGAGGCAGCGGUGCGGAAUCUUCCCCAAUGGGGAAACCCUGAUCCAGCCAAGCCGCGGACGAAGAAGGCUUGGGGUGGUAAAGCGCUUUAUCUGGGAGGAAAGAAACGGGCUAUACCCAGAAAGACGGUACCUCAGAGAAGCACAGCUACUCG
This 162-nucleotide ribosomal RNA is filed under the name uncultured Alphaproteobacteria bacterium. Its description in RNAcentral is "partial 16S ribosomal RNA". Lineage: Bacteria; Pseudomonadati; Pseudomonadota; Alphaproteobacteria. The record is from RNAcentral.